This 1531-nucleotide ribosomal RNA is filed under the name Klebsiella pneumoniae. Its description in RNAcentral is "bacterial SSU rRNA". It matches the Rfam family "Bacterial small subunit ribosomal RNA". Lineage: Bacteria; Pseudomonadati; Pseudomonadota; Gammaproteobacteria; Enterobacterales; Enterobacteriaceae. The record is from RNAcentral.
AGAGUUUGAUCAUGGCUCAGAUUGAACGCUGGCGCAGGCCUAACACAUGCAAGUCGAGCGGUAGCACAGAGAGCUUGCUCUCGGGUGACGAGCGGCGGACGGGUGAGUAAUGUCUGGGAAACUGCCUGAUGGAGGGGGAUAACUACUGGAAACGGUAGCUAAUACCGCAUAAUGUCGCAAGACCAAAGUGGGGGACCUUCGGGCCUCAUGCCAUCAGAUGUGCCCAGAUGGGAUUAGCUAGUAGGUGGGGUAAUGGCUCACCUAGGCGACGAUCCCUAGCUGGUCUGAGAGGAUGACCAGCCACACUGGAACUGAGACACGGUCCAGACUCCUACGGGAGGCAGCAGUGGGGAAUAUUGCACAAUGGGCGCAAGCCUGAUGCAGCCAUGCCGCGUGUGUGAAGAAGGCCUUCGGGUUGUAAAGCACUUUCAGCGGGGAGGAAGGCGGUGAGGUUAAUAACCUCACCGAUUGACGUUACCCGCAGAAGAAGCACCGGCUAACUCCGUGCCAGCAGCCGCGGUAAUACGGAGGGUGCAAGCGUUAAUCGGAAUUACUGGGCGUAAAGCGCACGCAGGCGGUCUGUCAAGUCGGAUGUGAAAUCCCCGGGCUCAACCUGGGAACUGCAUUCGAAACUGGCAGGCUAGAGUCUUGUAGAGGGGGGUAGAAUUCCAGGUGUAGCGGUGAAAUGCGUAGAGAUCUGGAGGAAUACCGGUGGCGAAGGCGGCCCCCCUGGACAAAAGACUGACGCUCAGGUGCGAAAGCGUGGGGAGCAAACAGGAUUAGAUACCCUGGUAGUCCACGCCGUAAACGAUGUCGAUUUGGAGGUUGUGCCCUUGAGGCGUGGCUUCCGGAGCUAACGCGUUAAAUCGACCGCCUGGGGAGUACGGCCGCAAGGUUAAAACUCAAAUGAAUUGACGGGGGCCCGCACAAGCGGUGGAGCAUGUGGUUUAAUUCGAUGCAACGCGAAGAACCUUACCUGGUCUUGACAUCCACGAGAACUUUCCAGAGAUGGAUUGGUGCCUUCGGGAACUGUGAGACAGGUGCUGCAUGGCUGUCGUCAGCUCGUGUUGUGAAAUGUUGGGUUAAGUCCCGCAACGAGCGCAACCCUUAUCCUUUGUUGCCAGCGGUUAGGCCGGGAACUCAAAGGAGACUGCCAGUGAUAAACUGGAGGAAGGUGGGGGAUGACGUCAAGUCAUCAUGGCCCUUACGACCAGGGCUACACACGUGCUACAAUGGCAUAUACAAAGAGAAGCGACCUCGCGAGAGCAAGCGGACCUCAUAAAGUAUGUCGUAGUCCGGAUUGGAGUCUGCAACUCGACUCCAUGAAGUCGGAAUCGCUAGUAAUCGUAGAUCAGAAUGCUACGGUGAAUACGUUCCCGGGCCUUGUACACACCGCCCGUCACACCAUGGGAGUGGGUUGCAAAAGAAGUAGGUAGCUUAACCUUCGGGAGGGCGCUUACCACUUUGUGAUUCAUGACUGGGGUGAAGUCGUAACAAGGUAACCGUAGGGGAACCUGCGGUUGGAUCACCU